CAGAACAUCAAUGACCGCCAUUUGAAUCAACAAAAACAGAUAAGGGACUGAGGCUCUGAAAAUGUAAAUACAUUGCCCCGACUUGCAAGGAGCUGUAACACUGUGAGGGUCUGGUCAGCUGCUUCAUUCUUGAAGUCAGUGAGACCGCAAACCCACCAGAAGGAACCAACUCCGGACACAGAGGGACUAGAUAAUACUGGCUGAAUGAAGGAAUAUGAACAAGGCCACUGGAGCCUCAUGGUUUUGUCAGCUGAAAUAGUACACCCACUAUAGAGUAGAGUGAAUUUAGUGUUUAUUUCUGCUGAUGAUGAAGGAGCCAUUCCAAAUUACUCUACUGGAAUUACAUUGAACAUGGACAAAAAUCUUCAAUCAAACAAAUUCAUACAAAAGGAAUUCAGGGUAUUUAAUCAGAAGAGAAGG
Molecule: long non-coding RNA, 420 nt
Filed under: Homo sapiens (human)
Lineage: Eukaryota; Metazoa; Chordata; Mammalia; Primates; Hominidae
Description: HSALNT0225104
Source: RNAcentral